UACGAAGGGGGCUAGCGUUGCUCGGAAUCACUGGGCGUAAAGGGUGCGUAGGCGGGUCUUUAAGUCAGGGGUGAAAUCCUGGAGCUCAACUCCAGAACUGCCUUUGAUACUGAAGAUCUUGAGUUCGGGAGAGGUGAGUGGAACUGCGAGUGUAGAGGUGAAAUUCGUAGAUAUUCGCAAGAACACCAGUGGCGAAGGCGGCAUCCUGGACCGACACUGACGCUGAGGAGCGAAAGCCAGGGGAGCAAACGGG
RNAcentral lists this ribosomal RNA (253 nucleotides) under uncultured bacterium. RNAcentral's name for it is "partial 16S ribosomal RNA". It matches the Rfam family "Bacterial small subunit ribosomal RNA", at positions 524 to 776 of the family's 1533-position model. The record is from RNAcentral.